Molecule: long non-coding RNA, 538 nt
Filed under: Pavo cristatus (Indian peafowl)
Lineage: Eukaryota; Metazoa; Chordata; Aves; Galliformes; Phasianidae
Description: lncRNA (ENSPSTG00000004613.1)
Source: RNAcentral
CUUCCCAGCAAACAAACCAGACACCAUAGCUGUGCCAAAAAGUCCCUCCCAUAGGUGUAAGGGAAGGGCAGGGCAGACUGAAGGGCACGGACAGAAGUUGCAAAAGUCUCAGUUUCAGGGGAUAUUAUCCUCACUGGACAGGGAGGAUUAGACAGUCUGCACUUCCAUGCUGACCGGCAAGCUCCAGCUACUGCUACUCCUGGCAACUCAUGGUUGAUUUGCCUUGGAUUUGAAGCAACUGUUGUCAAGAACUUAAACCUCAAGAGGUGAAUGGCAGGCCUCCCUAAGUUAUCUUCCCUUUUCCCAGCUGCCCUGUCUCUUCCUGCUUCUUUAAACCCAGCCAAGGAAUGAAUAUUAUUUUCUAAUGACUGAAAGAAGGCACAUAAGAGGCAGGUCUUCAGAUUAAGAAUCCAAGACUUGAUUGCAGCUCUUAUCAUACUUCUUUUCCAUUUUUUCCCUCUUCUUCCCACCAGAAAAUAAAUUGCUUCAAUAAAUUAUGUCUUUGAUCUGCAUAGGGGACCAGCAGCCUGGGCUCUCA